This 417-nucleotide ribosomal RNA is filed under the name Triticum aestivum (bread wheat). RNAcentral describes it as "partial small subunit ribosomal RNA". Lineage: Eukaryota; Viridiplantae; Streptophyta; Magnoliopsida; Poales; Poaceae. The record is from RNAcentral.
AUGUCGUCGUCGUCGUCGUCCACCGCGGCGGCGGGCUCCGCGCUGGGCGGCUCCCACGCCGGCCUCGCCCUCGCCGCCACCGCCAUGGCGCUCUCCGGCACCCUCGUGCUCUUCUCGCUCUGCCGCGCCAAGCAGACGGACCACCACCUCCCGUCUCCCGCCCGGCUCCGGCCCUGCCUCUCCUCCUCCGAGAAGCGGAAGCGGGAGAAGGCGCGGCGCGGGAGCAUGAAGCGGGUGCGCUUCGCCGCCGACGUCGUUGACCACGGCCCAGCUCGCCCGGCGCCGGAGGUGGAGGAGGCGGUGGCGUCGGGGCCGGGGCCGUCCUGCAGGGGCGCCGCGAUGCCGGCGAACCGGGAGGCGCUGUACCGCGGCAUGCUCCGCGGCCGCUCCAUGCUCAGGACCGCCUGCUCCUACUAA